This 252-nucleotide ribosomal RNA is filed under the name uncultured bacterium. Its description in RNAcentral is "partial 16S ribosomal RNA". It matches the Rfam family "Bacterial small subunit ribosomal RNA", at positions 524 to 776 of the family's 1533-position model. The record is from RNAcentral.
UACGUAGGGGGCAAGCGUUGUCCGGAAUCAUUGGGCGUAAAGAGCGUGUAGGCGGCCAGAUAAGUCCGCUGUGAAAACUCGAGGCUCAACUUCGAGCUGUCGGCGGAAACUAUCUGGCUAGAGUCCGGAAGAGGAGAGUGGAAUUCCUGGUGUAGCGGUGAAAUGCGCAGAUAUCAGGAAGAACACCCGUGGCGAAGGCGGCUCUCUGGGACGGUACUGACGCUGAGACGCGAAAGCGUGGGAGCGAACAGG